ACGUAGGGUGCAAGCGUUGUCCGGAAUUACUGGGCGUAAAGGGAGCGCAGGCGGACCGGCAAGUUGGAAGUGAAAACUAUGGGCUCAACCCAUAAAUUGCUUUCAAAACUGCUGGCCUUGAGUAGUGCAGAGGUAGGUGGAAUUCCCGGUGUAGCGGUGGAAUGCGUAGAUAUCGGGAGGAACACCAGUGGCGAAGGCGACCUACUGGGCACCAACUGACGCUGAGGCUCGAAAGCAUGGGUAGCAAACAG
RNAcentral lists this ribosomal RNA (251 nucleotides) under uncultured bacterium. RNAcentral's name for it is "partial 16S ribosomal RNA". It matches the Rfam family "Bacterial small subunit ribosomal RNA", at positions 525 to 775 of the family's 1533-position model. The record is from RNAcentral.